Cornus florida is the source of this 1727-nucleotide long non-coding RNA. RefSeq lists it as uncharacterized. NCBI's taxonomy places the organism in Eukaryota, Viridiplantae, Streptophyta, Magnoliopsida, Cornales, Cornaceae. The transcript has 9 exons. The record is from RefSeq and is a predicted model, not a curated record.
CGUGAAAAAACCCCUAUUUUUUUUAGUUUUUUGCCCUAAAUCUCUCACUCUCUUAGUCGUCGCCUCCUCUCAAAUCUCAAUCUCUCAUCUAAAGAGACGAAGUGACGAACCCUAAGAUAACCCUCGCCUCCUCUGAAGUCUGACCUCUCAUCGCCUUCGCCUGAGUCGCCUCCUCUCAUCUCCUCAGUCCUCAUCGACCUCGCCUGCUCUCAGAUUUCAUCAUUAAUCGUCUCCGAUCUCUAGUCAUUCAUAAUUUCAUCCUCACUCCCAUCUCAGAUUUCUGAGUCAAGUGAAUCCUCCAAACUUCUCAGACAGUGACACGGUCACACGGCUUCUCCGCUCUACACCCACGCACCAUCUCAGUUUAUUGGGUUAAGGAGUUCAAAUUUCAACUCUGAACUUUCUCUCUCUGCAACUGCAAACUACAAAAUCUACAAGAAUCAGAUGUUCAAAACCCAUAUAUUUCAGUUUAUCUAUCUGUCCGCAAGAAUCAAAAGUUCAAAGCCCAUAUCGGCAUAUCAUUUCAGAUUGUUCAAAAAAUCAAAACCCAUAUCUUUCAGUUUCCAUCGCCCGCUAUUCCAGAUCGGGUUCAUCGUUUGCAAGCUUCAGCCGCUGGCCCGUUAUCCCUCAACUCUCAAGCUUGCCCCCUCUCUCUCUGCAACUGCUACCUUGGCUAGCAUCAGGCCUUAACAUUUAGCAAGAACAAGGUUCAAGAAACAUGGCUCCUCAGUCAGCAGGUCUCUUUUUCAAAGAAGAGAGUUGAUUGGGAAUGGGUGGAGCCGGCAAAAGAAAAUAGAAAUGCAGGAAGUUUCUGAUUCUCGGAAGACCACGGACUUAAAAAUUUCAAAGCCUUAAUCCUGACUCAUAUUGGCCAGGGAUGGGUGCAAGGUGUGCCUCCACAUAAGGGUUGGAAGGGACCUAAAGGUUGGGAUUCAUUUUUCAAUUUUGAAACAUCAGUGGCAACAAAUUUGGAGAAACAUCCGUUAUUGUUGAAUGAAGUAGAAAAGUUCAGAUAUUACACGGCAAUUUACCAGUUUACGAAAUAUUGCAAUAACCAUUAUAAUUCGGCUGCCAGAAGUAGAGUAUAUGGCUUGAAACAUCCUUGUGGAGAGCUAACAUUGGGGCCUUAACAUUUUGCAAGAACAAGGUUUAAGAAACAUGCCUCCUCAGUCAUCAGGUCUCUUUUCUGAAAGAAGAGAGUUGAUUGGGAAUGGGUGGAGUUGGGCAAAAGAAAAUAGGAUGUUGUUCAGGAAAUAAUUGAUGAAGAGGAUGAAAAACUGAAAAGUCUAAAGAGUGGAUGAGAUGAACCAAUAUAACCCCAGUGUCAGAUACCCGGUUGCAGAGCUAUGGUAUUACAGAGAAGGUAGAAAAGCAACACUGAGAGAGGGAGCAGCAUGUAUACUGGAGCAGUGGAAAUUGUACAAAAAGAAGAGAAACUGAAAGCUGUGUUGUGAAUUUCAAACGUAGAUGAGUCUUGAAAGAAGAAUUCAACAGCUUUAACGAUUUUAUACCUUAGAUUGUACAUGCACGGGCUGCAAACAAGAGUGCAGGAUUAUCCAAUGUAAAUGUAAGUGAAAUGGAGAACAUCUGAACCUCUUUUUAUUAAACUUUAUUGCCUGAGGUAGUGUUUUGAUGUGUAUUGAAAUGAAUUUAUUCCACAAGUAGUUGGAAUAGUGCGAUUGAUCGCUACCUGCCGUUGGAAUAAAUGAGUUUUAAUGGUGUCUGAA